This 390-nucleotide ribosomal RNA is filed under the name uncultured bacterium. Its description in RNAcentral is "bacterial SSU rRNA". It matches the Rfam family "Bacterial small subunit ribosomal RNA", at positions 29 to 417 of the family's 1533-position model. The record is from RNAcentral.
AUUGAACGCUGGCGGCGUGCUUAACACAUGCAAGUCGAGCGGUAACAGGCGUAGCAAUACGUGCUGACGAGCGGCGAACGGGUGCGUAAUACAUCGGAAUCUGCCUAGUAGUGGGGAAUAACCCGGCGAAAGCCGGGCUAAUGCCGCAUACGAUCCACGGAUGAAAGCGGGGGACUUUCGGGCCUCGCGCUAUUAGAUGAGCCGAUGCCGGAUUAGCUAGUUGGGAGGUAACGGCUCACCAAGGCGACGAUCCGUAGCUGGUCUGAGAGGACGGCCAGCCACACUGGGACUGAGACACGGCCCAGACUCCUACGGGAGGCAGCGAGUGGGGAAUAUUGGACAAGUGGGGGAAACCCUGAUCCAGCGACGCCGCGUGUGUGAAGAAGGCCU